AUCGCUAUUGGGCUUGGUGUUGGCUUCGGGCUACUACUUCUUGGCUUAAGUGCAAUGUUAUCCCGUAGAUGGAGAAGAGACAUCCAAAAGAAACUGAGAAGAAAAUGUUUUGCAAAGAAUCAUGGCCUCCUUCUAGAACAAUUAAUUUCAUCGAGUGAAGAUGCAAGUGAAAGGACAAAGAUUUUCACUCUAGAAGAGUUAGAGCAGGCAACAAACAACUUUGAUCACACACGGAUCCUUGGCUGUGGAGGGCAUGGCAUGGUCUACAAAGGCAUCUUAUCUGAUCAGCAUGUGGUGGCUAUAAAGAAAUCUAAGGUCAUUGAGCAAGUUGAGAUUGAGCAAUUCAUCAAUGAGGUUGUCAUCCUUUCACAGAUUAACCACAGAAAUGUUGUAAAGCUUUAUGGCUGUUGCCUUGAAACUGAGGUCCCACUAUUAGUGUAUGAUUUUGUUCCUAAUGGUUCCUUGUUUGAAAUCCUUCAUUCUGGUCCAAGCAACGGUUUUACUUUGUCCUGGGAUGGUUGCCUAAGAAUUGCUGCACAGGCUGCAGGUGCUCUCUAUUAUCUCCACUCCGCAGCGUCCAUAUCAGUCUUCCACCGUGAUGUCAAGUCUUCUAAUAUACUCCUAGAUGCAAACUACACUGCAAAAGUUGCUGACUUUGGUGCAUUGCUGUUCAAACGCCGCGACCAGACUCAUGUUACAACACACGUACAAGGCACAUUUGGGUACUUGGAUCCGGAGUAUUUUCGCACUGGGCAUCUAACUGAAAAGAGCGAUGUGUACAGCUUCGGUGUCAUGCUUUUAGAGCUACUUCUCAGAAGGAAGCCUGUUUUAGAGCUACUUCGGUGUCACCGCAAACAACCAAAGAUGUUAUAG
RNAcentral lists this ribosomal RNA (873 nucleotides) under Triticum aestivum (bread wheat). RNAcentral's name for it is "partial small subunit ribosomal RNA". The record is from RNAcentral. Lineage: Eukaryota; Viridiplantae; Streptophyta; Magnoliopsida; Poales; Poaceae.